This 239-nucleotide ribosomal RNA is filed under the name Tiarina fusus. RNAcentral's name for it is "Tiarina fusa partial Bacterial small subunit ribosomal RNA". The record is from RNAcentral. Lineage: Eukaryota; Ciliophora; Prostomatea; Prorodontida; Colepidae.
AAUGGCCGUUAAUAUUUUAUAUGUUGUGAGGUGAAAUGAGAAAUUGUUUGAGGAUGAGUUUGUGUUUGAUUAGUUAGUUGGUGGGGUAAGAGUUUAUUAAGGUAUUGAUUAGUAGUUGGUUUGAGAGGAUGAUUAGUUAUAUUGGGAUUGAGAUAUGGUUUAGAUUUUUAUGGGAGGUAGUAGUGGGGAAUUUUUUGUAAUGGGUGUAAGUUUGAUGGAGUAAUGUUGUGUGAGGGAUG